ACAACUUUCAACAACGGAU
RNAcentral lists this ribosomal RNA (19 nucleotides) under Pleurotus cystidiosus. RNAcentral describes it as "partial 5.8S ribosomal RNA". Lineage: Eukaryota; Fungi; Basidiomycota; Agaricomycetes; Agaricales; Pleurotaceae. The record is from RNAcentral.